GGACGAACGCUGGCGUUGGAGAGUUUGAUCCUGGCUCAGGACGAACGCUGGCGGCGUGCUUAACACAUGCAAGUCGAGCGGUAAGGCCUUUCGGGGUACACGAGCGGCGAACGGGUGAGUAACACGUGGGUGAUCUGCCCUGCACUUCGGGAUAAGCCUGGGAAACUGGGUCUAAUACCGGAUAUGACCUCCUAUCGCAUGGUGGGUGGUGGAAAGAUUUAUCGGUGCAGGAUGGGCCCGCGGCCUAUCAGCUUGUUGGUGGGGUAAUGGCCUACCAAGGCGACGACGGGUAGCCGACCUGAGAGGGUGACCGGCCACACUGGGACUGAGACACGGCCCAGACUCCUACGGGAGGCAGCAGUGGGGAAUAUUGCACAAUGGGCGAAAGCCUGAUGCAGCGACGCCGCGUGAGGGAUGACGGCCUUCGGGUUGUAAACCUCUUUCAGCAGGGACGAAGCGCAAGUGACGGUACCUGCAGAAGAAGCACCGGCUAACUACGUGCCAGCAGCCGCGGUAAUAAGGGACGGCUAACUACGU
RNAcentral lists this ribosomal RNA (537 nucleotides) under Rhodococcus sp. TJ-13. RNAcentral's name for it is "bacterial SSU rRNA". It matches the Rfam family "Bacterial small subunit ribosomal RNA", at positions 1 to 544 of the family's 1533-position model. The record is from RNAcentral. Lineage: Bacteria; Bacillati; Actinomycetota; Actinomycetes; Mycobacteriales; Nocardiaceae.